Molecule: transfer RNA, 87 nt
Filed under: Magnetovibrio blakemorei
Lineage: Bacteria; Pseudomonadati; Pseudomonadota; Alphaproteobacteria; Rhodospirillales; Magnetovibrionaceae
Description: magnetite-containing magnetic vibrio tRNA
Rfam family: tRNA
About the family: Transfer RNA (tRNA) molecules are approximately 80 nucleotides in length. Their secondary structure includes four short double-helical elements and three loops (D, anti-codon, and T loops). Further hydrogen bonds mediate the characteristic L-shaped molecular structure. tRNAs have two regions of fundamental functional importance: the anti-codon, which is responsible for specific mRNA codon recognition, and the 3' end, to which the tRNAs corresponding amino acid is attached (by aminoacyl-tRNA synthetases). tRNAs cope with the degeneracy of the genetic code in two manners: having more than one tRNA (with a specific anti-codon) for a particular amino acid; and 'wobble' base-pairing, i.e. permitting non-standard base-pairing at the 3rd anti-codon position.
Source: Rfam by way of RNAcentral
GGAUGGGUGGCCGAGUGGUUGAAGGCACUGGUCUUGAAAACCAGCGAGGGUUAACGCCCUCCGUGGGUUCGAAUCCCACCCCAUCCG